GACGAACCGUGCGAACGUUGUUCGGAAUCACUGGGCUUAAAGGGCGCGUAGGCGGGCCGCCAAGUCAGGGGUGAAAGCCUCCAGCUUAACUGGAGAAGUGCCUCUGAUACUGGCGGCCUCGAGGGAGAUAGGGGCGUGCGGAACUUCCGGUGGAGCGGUGAAAUGCGUAGAUAUCGGAAGGAACACCGGUGGCGAAAGCGGCGCGCUGGAUCUCUUCUGACGCUGAGGCGCGAAAGCCAGGGGAGCGAACGGG
This 253-nucleotide ribosomal RNA is filed under the name uncultured bacterium. RNAcentral's name for it is "partial 16S ribosomal RNA". It matches the Rfam family "Bacterial small subunit ribosomal RNA", at positions 524 to 776 of the family's 1533-position model. The record is from RNAcentral.